UACGAAGGGGGCUAGCGUUGUUCGGAUUUACUGGGCGUAAAGCGCACGUAGGCGGAUCGUUAAGUCGGGGGUGAAAUCCUGGAGCUCAACUCCAGAACUGCCUUCGAUACUGGCGAUCUUGAGUCCAGAAGAGGUGAGUGGAACUCCUAGUGUAGAGGUGGAAUUCGUAGAUAUUAGGAAGAACACCAGUGGCGAAGGCGGCUCACUGGUCCGGUACUGACGCUGAGGUGCGAAAGCGUGGGGAGCAAACAGG
This 253-nucleotide ribosomal RNA is filed under the name uncultured bacterium. RNAcentral describes it as "partial 16S ribosomal RNA". It matches the Rfam family "Bacterial small subunit ribosomal RNA", at positions 524 to 776 of the family's 1533-position model. The record is from RNAcentral.